This 1281-nucleotide long non-coding RNA is filed under the name Homo sapiens (human). RNAcentral's name for it is "HSALNT0162748". Lineage: Eukaryota; Metazoa; Chordata; Mammalia; Primates; Hominidae. The record is from RNAcentral.
GUUAAAUCUGACUGAGAGAGGCAUGUUCUUCUUGGGUUUGGCCACCAUAGAAAUUUUACCUGAAUUGCAGACAUACAGAAUUCACUGGCCAAACAAUUUGAAGAAAAUUGGAAUAUAAGCUACUUCAGUUCUGAUAAAUGGAAGACCAUCGUAUAAGUGGAGGACUCAUGUUACAGUGUGCCCAGGGAAGGCAACAAAUUCUACUUUCUAGUCUCCAGAAAGACAUAUGUUAGCAGAGACAUAUUUGGACCCAACCUAUAUACUUUUUCUCUAUAAAGCAUUCAAAGAACAAUGUGACGAUUACAGUUGUGUGGGAUUUCACCCUUCCUUAACUAUAAAAAGAAGACUUCUUGGGCCAGGCCGGUGGCUCACGCCUGUAGUCCCAGCACUUUGGGAAGCCGAGGCGGAUGGAUCACGAGGUCAGGAGAUCGAGACCAGACUGGCCAACAUGGUGAAACCCCGUCUCUAACAAAAAUAGAAAAAUCAGCUGGGCAUGGUGGUGCAUGCCUGUAGUCCCAGCUACUUGGGAAGCUGAGGCAGGAGAAUUGCUUGAACCUGGGAGGUGGAGGUUGCAGUAAACCGAGAUCGUGCCACUGCACUCCAGCCUGGUGACAGAGCAAGAGUCCGUCUGAAAAAAAAAAAAGACUUCUUAAUAAAAAACAGGCAUACCUCAUUUUACUGCACUUCACUUUUUUUGUGCUUCACAGAUAUUGCUUUUUUUUUUUUUUUUUUUUUUUUUUACAAAUGGAAGGUUUGUGUGGUAACCCUUCAUUCAGCAAGUCCAUUGGUGCCAUUUAUCCAAGAGCAUGUGCUCACCUUGCGUCUCUAUGUUACAUUUUGGUAAUUCUUACAAUAUUUAAAAAUUUUCACUAUGAUUAUAUCUGUGAUGGUGGUCUGUGAUCAGUGAUCUUUGAUGUUCCUAUUGUAAUUGUUUUAGGGCACCACCAACUGCAUUCAUAUAGGACGGUGCACUUAAUUGGUAAAUACUGUGUGUAUUCUAACUGCUCCACCAAUCAGGUGUUGCCUCAUCUUUCUCCUGCUCCUUGGACUCUCAAUUCCCUCAGACACAACAGUGUUGAAAUUAGACCAAUUAAUAUCCCUACAAUGGCCUCUAAGUGUUGAAGUGAAAGAAAGAGUUUCAUGUUUCUCACUUUAAAUAAAAAGCUAGAUAUGAUUAAGCUUAGUGAGUGUAUUAGUCUGUUCUCAUGUUGCUAAUAGAGACAUACCUGAGACUGGGUAAUUUAUAAAGAAAAGAGGUUUAAUGGACUCACCACUCCACAU